AACGAACGCUGGCGGCAGGCUUAACACAUGCAAGUCGAGCGCCCCGCAAGGGGAGCGGCAGACGGGUGAGUAACGCGUGGGAAUCUACCCAUCUCUACGGAAUAACUCAGGGAAACUUGUGCUAAUACCGUAUACGCCCUUUUGGGGAAAGAUUUAUCGGAGAUGGAUGAGCCCGCGUUGGAUUAGCUAGUUGGUGGGGUAAAGGCCUACCGAGGCGACGAUCCAUAGCUGGUCUGAGAGGAUGAUCAGCCACAUUGGGACUGAGACACGGCCCAAACUCCUACGGGAGGCAGCAGUGGGGAAUAUUGGACAAUGGGCGCAAGCCUGAUCCAGCCAUGCCGCGUGAGUGAUGAAGGCCCUAGGGUUGUAAAGCUCUUUCACCGGAGAAGAUAAUGACGGUAUCCGGAGAAGAAGCCCCGGCUAACUUCGUGCCAGCAGCCGCCGCCG
This 447-nucleotide ribosomal RNA is filed under the name uncultured bacterium. RNAcentral's name for it is "partial 16S ribosomal RNA". It matches the Rfam family "Bacterial small subunit ribosomal RNA", at positions 29 to 523 of the family's 1533-position model. The record is from RNAcentral.